This is a long non-coding RNA of Homo sapiens (human), 1990 nucleotides long. RefSeq annotates it as DLX6 antisense RNA 1. The record is from RefSeq and is marked validated. NCBI's taxonomy places the organism in Eukaryota, Metazoa, Chordata, Mammalia, Primates, Hominidae. The transcript has 3 exons.
AUUUCACACCUGGAUGUGCUCACUCAACCAAGAAUAUAGAGAAAGAGCUUCUGCCCUGAGACUCAGAAAAAUAUUCUCCUGUGCUUUGGUUCAGUAUAGAUUUCUAAACCCUGAUCAUUGCUUAAGAGAUAUUCACUGAGGACAGAGUCUUGCUCUAUUGCCCAGGCUGCAACUGGUGUGAUCUCGGCUCACUACAACCUCUGCCUCCUGGGUUCAAGCGAUUCUCCUGCCUCAAGCUCCCAAGUAGCUGGGAUUACAAGCAUGCACCACCAUGCCUGGCUAAUUUUUGUAUUUUUAGUGGAGACGGGGUUUCGCCACAUUGGCCAGGGUGGUCUUGAACUCCUGACCUCAAGUGAUCCACCUGCCUUGGCCUCCCAAAGUGCUGGGAUUAUAAGCAUGAGCCACUGCACCCAGCCUUAUACUGAACUUUCAAUGGGUUCAAUUCCACUAGGAGCAUAAAGGCCACUGCAUAUGAGUUGUGGAAAGAAGAGAUUAGAAGAAGGAAGAACUUGAGAUGAGUUCCUCCCUUCAACAUUCUGUCUCCUCCUACCUAGCAUCUUCUUUCUUUUAGUCUUUCUAGAAUGUCCAUCUGUUUUUGGCCAUUGCGGAGAGAGAAGCUGAGCUUUAAAGGAGUAGGAGCUUCAAAGGCGUAGGAGCUUCAAAAUUCUUGUUUCUUCAUGUUUGAUCACCCUUCUAAACCUGUCUUCUGUUCCUUCUGCUAUUCUUUUUUCUUAGAGCAUAGGAAAGGGGAGCUUUUAAAUUAAUACUUAAAGCAUGGAAAAAAAGAACUUGAGAAGAAAGUAAAACAAGGGAGAUGAGGCUAGUAAAGUAAGGAAAAUGAAGAGGAAGAGGAGGAAGGGUUAGCUUCUAAAUUCCAAGUCAAAUUGAUAUGGAACAGGCAAGCCGCUUGUCUUACUUAAACUUCAGAAAAGGAUCUGCUGAAACUUGAUAGAAAUGGAAAGGGAAAUCCUUGGGGUGGGGAACCUCCAAACAUUAGUAAUGAUAUUGAACAACUCAAAGUAUUGAGGAAAUCUGCAGGCUACAUGCCUGAAGAUUACCCAUGCAGAUAGACCAAAAGGAUUAGAAUUAUCUGUUGAUAUUAGUAAUAUUUAUUGACAUCUAGCUAGUAUUGGUAAUUUUAAGUUUUAGAUUAAUUUCUUUGGUAAUAGCUAUGAUAUAUUUUAUAGACAAGAAUUAUAUCUAUAGGCUUGCUAUCAUAGGCUCUUUUAAUCAGCAUUAAUUUAGUCUACUGAUUUUUAGCACAUUUGAAUCAUUCACUUAUGCUAGGUAACUCAUUGCAAAAUAAAAAGAUGAUUCCUGUAUGUAUGGCAGCUAUACAUUAAGGAGGAGUCUACCAGAAUAUGAAAAAGUCAGCUGACCUAAAUAUUGCUGAGACAAAGGAAAACCCACUCCCUUGGAGGAGCAUGACCUUUUCCUGUAAUUCUUCCCACUGCUGUUGUUGAGCUCCUUGGAUCCUGGCUCCUGGACACCAUCAUCAAGAAGACUUUAUGGAUGGGCUGUCCACCCACUGAGAGAAGAGGAGCAUCAGCUACAGUUUCUCUCUAGAUUGCCUUCUUCAUUUUGAGUAAUGACUGUCAGCAGGGUCAGAUUAAACACAAAACAACUGGACAAUUGCUUGGAGGACUAAACUAUAAGGGCACUAACAUGUCAAUAGUAGGCUAACACAUCCAUGGAAAAUAUAUUUACCAGCUCUUCUCUCAGGGAGGAUUCUGUGUGGGGUUGGAAGUAAUGAUUUGUUAAAUUCCUUAGGGGUAGAAAGUAGGGCAUAAUCAGAAUAUAGAGGAAUAUGCUGUUUGACUUCAGGGUUUCUGUUUUUCUUACUAGGAUAUAUAAAACAGGGACUCUAGCUAGAUUGUUUAUGACCACAGAGGGUAGGCUGAGUGCUCCCAUGAUCUUCCUGCUUGGUUCUUGCCCAUACAGAGGUCAGCCUUUCCUCUAAUAAAGAUUGAACAAGUAGUGGUCUGAGGGA